Molecule: ribosomal RNA, 429 nt
Filed under: Chloroflexota bacterium
Lineage: Bacteria; Bacillati; Chloroflexota
Description: Chloroflexi bacterium partial 16S ribosomal RNA
Rfam family: Bacterial small subunit ribosomal RNA
Source: RNAcentral
UGGGGAAUAUUGCACAAUGGGCGCAAGCCUGAUGCAGCCAUGCCGCGUGUAUGAAGAAGGCCUUCGGGUUGUAAAGUACUUUCAGCGGGGAGGAAGGGAGUAAAGUUAAUACCUUUGCUCAUUGACGUUACCCGCAGAAGAAGCACCGGCUAACUCCGUGCCAGCAGCCGCGGUAAUACGGAGGGUGCAAGCGUUAAUCGGAAUUACUGGGCGUAAAGCGCACGCAGGCGGUUUGUUAAGUCAGAUGUGAAAUCCCCCGGCUCAACCGGGGAGGGUCAUUGGAAACUGGGAGACUUGAGUGCAGAAGAGGAGAGUGGAAUUCCAUGUGUAGCGGUGAAAUGCGUAGAUAUAUGGAGGAACACCAGUGGCGAAGGCGGCUCUCUGGUCUGUAACUGACGCUGAGGCUCGAAAGCGUGGGGAGCAAACAGG